Molecule: transfer RNA, 73 nt
Filed under: Fasciola gigantica
Lineage: Eukaryota; Metazoa; Platyhelminthes; Trematoda; Plagiorchiida; Fasciolidae
Rfam family: tRNA
About the family: Transfer RNA (tRNA) molecules are approximately 80 nucleotides in length.
Source: Rfam by way of RNAcentral
GCCGCGAGAGCUCAGUCGGUAGAUCAUCUGCCCAAUAGGCCGAGCGUUACUGGUUCGAUUCCAGCUCGCGGCC